Molecule: ribosomal RNA, 378 nt
Filed under: uncultured organism
Description: partial 16S ribosomal RNA
Rfam family: Bacterial small subunit ribosomal RNA
Source: RNAcentral
GUAGGGUGCGAGCGUUAUCCGGGAAUCAUUGGGCGUAAAGAGCUCGUAGGCGGUUCAGCAAGUCGGCUGUGAAAUUCCGAGGGCUCAACCUCGGAACUGCAGUCGAUACUGUUGUGACUCGAGUCCGGUAGAGGAGAAUGGAAUUCCCGGUGUAGCGGUGAAAUGCGCAGAUAUCGGGAGGAACACCAGUAGCGAAGGCGGUUCUCUGGGCCGGCACUGACGCUGAGGAGCGAAAGCGUGGGUAGCAAACAGGAUUAGAUACCCUGGUAGUCCACGCCGUAAACGUUGGAUACUAGGUGUGGGGUUCCGACCAACGGUCCCCGUGCCGAAGCUAACGCAUUAAGUAUCCCGCCUGGGGAGUACGGCCGCAAAGGCUAA